Molecule: ribosomal RNA, 372 nt
Filed under: uncultured Sphingobacteriia bacterium
Lineage: Bacteria; Pseudomonadati; Bacteroidota; Sphingobacteriia
Description: bacterial SSU rRNA
Rfam family: Bacterial small subunit ribosomal RNA
Source: RNAcentral
UAAUACGGAGGGUGCAAGCGUUAUCCGGAAUCACUGGGUUUAAAGGGUGCGUAGGCGGCGUAAUAAGUCAGAGGUGAAAUCCUACAGCUUAACUGUAGAACUGCCUUUGAAACUGUUAUGCUCGAAUAGAGUUGAGGUUAGCGGAAUGUGACAUGUAGCGGUGAAAUGCAUAGAUAUGUCAUAGAACACCAAUUGCGAAGGCAGCUAACUGGGCUCUUAUUGACGCUGAGGCACGAAAGCGUGGGGAGCGAACAGGAUUAGAUACCCUGGUAGUCCACGCCCUAAACGAUGCUAACUCGACGUAUGGAUUUAAUUUGUGCGUCCAAGGGAAACCGUUAAGUUAGCCACCUGGGGAGUACGUUCGCAAGAAUG